CAGUGGGAUGCCUACCUGCCAGCUGAUUUGCCCCAGUGUCCCUAAUAAUGUAUUACUGCAAACUAACUUGAAAGAGGACUGAUGGAGUGACAGAUCAGUUAGGUUUCAAAUAAGAACAAGCAUACCUUCUUCAAACAGUGCUUGACACAAAAGAGAACAGUGAAGUGUAAUGCUGCAGGUUAAUAAAAUUAAAAGACAGCAGCUGUAUCUGCUGCCUUGCAGAGAGCCAAGACACUGCUCCCUGCUGAAAGAAACUGCUUUGGAGCCUUAGCAUAAGAAUAACCAUGUUGUCUGAGGAGAAAAGAAGCCAUACUGAGUUUACUUCAUCUACUCAUACUGGUAGACCACGGAUAAGUAUAGUCACACUAUACAUUUGGAAGCACCUGCAGUUAAUUUAUCAGAUGAUGUUACCCAAGGCAAUGGAGAAUACCCAAGGCCGCA
This is a long non-coding RNA of Tympanuchus pallidicinctus (lesser prairie-chicken), 441 nucleotides long. RefSeq lists it as uncharacterized. The transcript has 3 exons. The record is from RefSeq and is a predicted model, not a curated record. Lineage: Eukaryota; Metazoa; Chordata; Aves; Galliformes; Phasianidae.